Molecule: long non-coding RNA, 198 nt
Filed under: Fukomys damarensis (Damara mole-rat)
Lineage: Eukaryota; Metazoa; Chordata; Mammalia; Rodentia; Bathyergidae
Description: lncRNA (ENSFDAG00000032014.1)
Source: RNAcentral
UAGAUUUGCAAUUCAUUCAUAUUUAUCCUUAUCAAUUAUUUAAAUGUUUCAGAAUACCAGAGGCUGGAGACAGAUGACACACUGACUGGGAUCUUUCCCAAAGAGAAAACCUGAGAGUGUUGAUUGAAGAAAAAUGGACAGAUCAUACACAAGUGUUUGAGUUCACUUCAGUACUAUCUGCUAUUCAUACAUCAGGGG